UAAAGCAAAGACAGACGACAACCUUGAUCCGCAUUAACCAGCUCAUAACCUCCGCCCCUCCAGGACGGCCUAUCGUCAAUUAUUCUGACAGCCAGGCUGCUAUUAGAUCUCUUAAAUCUAAUGAAACAACGUCUAAAGUUGCCCUCGAAUUCAGUAGAACUCCCAUACUGCUGGCUUCAAAAUAUCACUUGACUGUGGUAUGGGUCCCUGGACACAGGGACGUUCCUGGCAACUGCUUAGCAGACGAGCUGGCAAGGAGCGAGAUGGAAAUAUCUGAAGUCAAUUCUUCUCAAAAUGCGGACAUACCUCUGACCUCCUGCAAACACAGGCCACAGAUCCAACUCAUCGAGAAGGUAAAUACCAGGUGGGCUGUGGAAACCACCUCCUGCCAUACUACCAAGUAAAUCGAUCCAUAUCUCUCACUCGGCUGGACCGCUAUUCGCACAGAUUAGUAGAUACCCCACCAACGACUUUUGUCGCAGUUGAAGAGACGAGAAAGAGGUGGAGAGCGUCCAACAUUAUCUCUGCUAUUGUCCCGCCCUGGCCAAGACGCGCAACCAAUUCUUCUUCAAGUACUUUCUAGAUUAUUUAGCCGACCUGAACUCGGUGAACAUUCUCGACUUUUUGUGCUAUAAAAAACGCACUCGGUGGUUCAAUUACUAGGAAAGGGAAAGAGACAAAUCCGAGCUCUGCGCGUGGGCAGCCACUCUAACCUAACAACGUGCAUAUCCAUAACUUUGACUAAAAUGUACUGCAUGUUUAGGUAGAUUUUCAAGGAUGGUUAGGUUAGACGGUAUGUUCUUGUCAACAGCUCGCUCGGUGAUUCCACCGGCCGAAAGGAAAAUAUUUCUCUAAAAACUAGUACCAUUGAAGUGGUCCAAGUCCUCGAAGAAAUGGUUUCAGAGAAAUCAAGGAAAAAAGUAUUAAAAACUCGCCUGUGCCGAGUUCCCAUUCGCUUACCAAUUGAUGGGAGUUUAAUAGGACUUAGUACACCUCGACUCAGAUCUCACUUCCUUAUUACAAAAACACGACUUUGAUUAUGGGUCUAGUGAAUCAUAUCGAAUGAUUCAUUGCCGAACUGGUGUAUACUGACCUUGCCUGGAGCUCAGCAUAAAAAACGGUUCAGUAAUCUGGAGGUCUUUAAUCCAGAUUGGGACUUCAUCGUUGCUUGAAAGGAUGUCAGAUUCUUAGUCUCUUCUAUGGGAAAGUUGUGGCGAGAGUUUCCGCUAUCCGUUAGCCAAAGCCUCUCUGUUUGAUUCCAUUUCGGUUUGAAAUAGAGGCUGCUGGUUAGACGCCUAGUCUUACAGCCGGUUACUGAAUGAAUGACGGGCUAACUGCAGGUUAAUACGUAGUUCGUAA
Long non-coding RNA from Rhagoletis zephyria (snowberry fruit fly), 1359 nucleotides. RefSeq lists it as uncharacterized. The record is from RefSeq and is a predicted model, not a curated record. NCBI's taxonomy places the organism in Eukaryota, Metazoa, Arthropoda, Insecta, Diptera, Tephritidae.